UGGGGAAUCUUGGACAAUGGGGGCAACCCUGAUCCAGCCAUGCCGCGUGAGUGAUGAAGGCCUUAGGGUCGUAAAGCUCUUUCGCCUGUGAAGAUAAUGACGGUAGCAGGUAAAGAAACCCCGGCUAACUCCGUGCCAGCAGCCGCGGUAAUACGGAGGGGGUUAGCGUUGUUCGGAAUUACUGGGCGUAAAGCGCACGUAGGCGGACCAGAAAGUUGGGGGUGAAAUCCCGGGGGCUCAACCCCGGAACUGCCUCCAAAACUAUUGGUCUAGAGUUCGAGAGAGGUGAGUGGAAUUCCAAGUGUAGAGGUGAAAUUCGUAGAUAUUUGGAGGAACACCAGUGGCGAAGGCGGCUCACUGGCUCGAUACUGACGCUGAGGUGCGAAAGUGUGGGGAGCAAACAGGAUUAGAUACCCUGGUAGUCCACACCGUAAAACGAUGAAUGCCAGUCGUCGGGUAGCAUGCUAUUCGGUGACACACCUAACGGAUUAAGCAUUCCGCCUGGGGAGUACGGUCGCAAGAUUAAAACUCAAAU
This 535-nucleotide ribosomal RNA is filed under the name uncultured bacterium. RNAcentral describes it as "bacterial SSU rRNA". It matches the Rfam family "Bacterial small subunit ribosomal RNA", at positions 355 to 906 of the family's 1533-position model. The record is from RNAcentral.